This 253-nucleotide ribosomal RNA is filed under the name uncultured bacterium. RNAcentral's name for it is "partial 16S ribosomal RNA". It matches the Rfam family "Bacterial small subunit ribosomal RNA", at positions 524 to 776 of the family's 1533-position model. The record is from RNAcentral.
GACAGAGGGUGCGAACGUUGUUCGGAAUUACUGGGCGUAAAGCGCAUGUAGGCGGCAGCGCAAGUCGGGCGUGAAAUCCCACGGCUCAACCGUGGAAGUGCACUCGAAACUGCGCAGCUAGAGUCCUGGAGAGGAAGGUGGAAUGCUUGGUGUAGAGGUGAAAUUCGUAGAUAUCGAGAGGAACACCGGUGGCGAAGGCGGCGAUCUGGACGAUGACUGACGCUGAGACGCGAAAGCGUGGGGAGCAAACAGG